Molecule: long non-coding RNA, 108 nt
Organism: Austrofundulus limnaeus
Lineage: Eukaryota; Metazoa; Chordata; Actinopteri; Cyprinodontiformes; Rivulidae
Exons: 3
Source: RefSeq, a predicted model, not a curated record
CUGAGGGGUUUGAUGAGCCGGUCUCAGGGCUUCGAUGAGCCGGUCUCAGGGGUUCGAGCCGGUCUCAGGGGUUUGAUGAGCCGGUCUCAGGGCUUCGAUGAGCCGGUC